RNAcentral lists this ribosomal RNA (162 nucleotides) under uncultured eukaryote. RNAcentral's name for it is "partial 18S ribosomal RNA". It matches the Rfam family "Eukaryotic small subunit ribosomal RNA", at positions 1299 to 1458 of the family's 1831-position model. The record is from RNAcentral.
UCGUGGAGUGGUUUGUCUGGUCUAUUCCGAUAACGAGCGAGACCCCGAUGUCCUUAGUAGGGGUGGCAGCCCAGCUCGCCUCACGGCUUGCUAGCAGCUACCCAAGCAUAAGCUUCUUAGGCAAAUCAGAGCCGAUAAGGUUCUUGAAAUGGGUUAAUAACA